Molecule: non-coding RNA, 57 nt
Filed under: Helianthus annuus (common sunflower)
Lineage: Eukaryota; Viridiplantae; Streptophyta; Magnoliopsida; Asterales; Asteraceae
Source: RNAcentral
CACUUGUCAGGAUUUGGGGCCACCCCCUGAUGAGUCCAUGAUGGGACAAAACCCGCG